AGAGUUUGAUCCUGGCUCAGGAUGAACGCUAGCGACAGGCCUAACACAUGCAAGUCGAGGGGUAACAGAUAUAAAGCUUGCUUUAUAUGCUGACGACCGGCGCACGGGUGAGUAACACGUAUGCAACCUACCUUUUACAGGAGAAUAACCCAGAGAAAUUUGGACUAAUACUCCAUAAUGUUUUUGUAUCGCAUGAUAUGAGAAUUAAAGUUCCGGCGGUAAAAGAUGGGCAUGCGUCCUAUUAGUUAGUUGGUAAGGUAACGGCUUACCAAGGCUAUGAUAGGUAGGGGUUCUGAGAGGAUAAUCCCCCACAUUGGUACUGAGACACGGACCAAACUCCUACGGGAGGCAGCAGUGAGGAAUAUUGGUCAAUGGCCGCAAGGCUGAACCAGCCAUGUCGCGUGAAGGAUGACUGCCCUAUGGGUUGUAAACUUCUUUUGUAUGGGAAGAAAGGUAUCUACGAGUAGAUAUUUGCCGGACCAUACGAAUAAGAUCGGC
This 498-nucleotide ribosomal RNA is filed under the name uncultured Bacteroides sp. RNAcentral's name for it is "bacterial SSU rRNA". It matches the Rfam family "Bacterial small subunit ribosomal RNA", at positions 8 to 497 of the family's 1533-position model. Lineage: Bacteria; Pseudomonadati; Bacteroidota; Bacteroidia; Bacteroidales; Bacteroidaceae. The record is from RNAcentral.